RNAcentral lists this ribosomal RNA (94 nucleotides) under Escherichia coli. RNAcentral's name for it is "partial 16S ribosomal RNA". It matches the Rfam family "Bacterial small subunit ribosomal RNA", at positions 1 to 91 of the family's 1533-position model. Lineage: Bacteria; Pseudomonadati; Pseudomonadota; Gammaproteobacteria; Enterobacterales; Enterobacteriaceae. The record is from RNAcentral.
UUAAAUUGAAGAGUUUGAUCAUGGCUCAGAUUGAACGCUGGCGGCAGGCCUAACACAUGCAAGUCGAACGGUAACAGGAAAUAGCUUGCUGUUU